Vicia faba (fava bean) is the source of this 336-nucleotide non-coding RNA. Lineage: Eukaryota; Viridiplantae; Streptophyta; Magnoliopsida; Fabales; Fabaceae. The record is from the annotation of a GenBank genome assembly.
AUGCUAGCUAGAGAUUCCUGUUUGCUAUAUUUUUGUGCAGGGCUGGUUUUGAAGAUUAGCUUGAAACAAACUUAUAACUGGCUGGUGUUUGAUGCAGCAGGGCACAAUUUGAUUUUCUUUUCCAUGGAUCGAAACAGGUCUUAUCCACGUAUCUUGAACUUGGCCCAUGAUUAUGCAUCUCAAGGUCUCAUAAGAGCUUGUAAGCCCAUCAACCAGGUAUGCCAUGUUGAACAUAACCCUGCCUUGAAUGCCUUGAACCUUGAAUUACUUUGCAUGAAUUCUUCCAUGAGAAGCCCAAUUCAAUCUAAAUCUACUCGCAUUGCAGAUAACAAAUGA